RNAcentral lists this unclassified non-coding RNA (253 nucleotides) under uncultured Gammaproteobacteria bacterium. Its description in RNAcentral is "contains 16S-23S intergenic spacer region". It matches the Rfam family "Bacterial small subunit ribosomal RNA", at positions 524 to 776 of the family's 1533-position model. The record is from RNAcentral. Lineage: Bacteria; Pseudomonadati; Pseudomonadota; Gammaproteobacteria.
UACGGAGGGUGCGAGCGUUAAUCGGAAUUACUGGGCGUAAAGCGCGCGUAGGCGGCUAGGUCAGUCGAAUGUGAAAGCCCCGGGCUUAACCUGGGAAUUGCACUCGAUACUGCCUGACUAGAGUAUGGGAGAGGGAAGUGGAAUUUCGGGUGUAGCGGUGAAAUGCGUAGAUAUCGGAAGGAACACCAGUGGCGAAGGCGACUUCCUGGCCCAAUACUGACGCUGAGGUGCGAAAGCGUGGGUAGCGAACAGG